Molecule: ribosomal RNA, 464 nt
Filed under: Vreelandella stevensii
Lineage: Bacteria; Pseudomonadati; Pseudomonadota; Gammaproteobacteria; Oceanospirillales; Halomonadaceae
Description: partial 16S ribosomal RNA
Rfam family: Bacterial small subunit ribosomal RNA
Source: RNAcentral
CCUACGGGUGGCUGCAGUGGGGAAUAUUGGACAAUGGGCGAAAGCCUGAUCCAGCCAUGCCGCGUGUGUGAAGAAGGCCUUCGGGUUGUAAAGCACUUUCAGUGGGGAAGAAAGCCUUGGGGCUAAUACCCUCGAGGAAGGACAUCACCCACAGAAGAAGCACCGGCUAACUCCGUGCCAGCAGCCGCGGUAAACGGAGGGUGCGAGCGUUAAUCGGAAUUACUGGGCGUAAAGCGCGCGUAGGCGGUCUGAUAAGCCGGUUGUGAAAGCCCCGGGCUCAACCUGGGAACGGCAUCCGGAACUGUCAGGCUAGAGUGCAGGAGAGGAAGGUAGAAUUCCCGGUGUAGCGGUGAAAUGCGUAGAGAUCGGGAGGAAUACCAGUGGCGAAGGCGGCCUUCUGGACUGACACUGACGCUGAGGUGCGAAAGCGUGGGUAGCAAACAGGAUGAGAUACCCGGGUAGUC